This 1329-nucleotide ribosomal RNA is filed under the name uncultured bacterium. RNAcentral describes it as "16S ribosomal RNA". It matches the Rfam family "Bacterial small subunit ribosomal RNA", at positions 36 to 1386 of the family's 1533-position model. The record is from RNAcentral.
CUGGCGGCGCGCCUAACACAUGCAAGUCGAACGGCACCUAUCUUCGGAUAGAAGCGAGUGGCGAACGGCUGAGUAACACGUGGAGAACCUGCCCCCUCCCCCGGGAUAGCCGCCCGAAAGGACGGGUAAUACCGGAUACCCCCGGGCGCCGCAUGGCGCCCGGGCUAAAGCCCCGACGGGAGGGGAUGGCUCCGCGGCCCAUCAGGUAGACGGCGGGGUGACGGCCCACCGUGCCGACAACGGGUAGCCGGGUUGAGAGACCGACCGGCCAGAUUGGGACUGAGACACGGCCCAGACUCCUACGGGAGGCAGCAGUGGGGAAUCUUGCGCAAUGGGGGGAACCCUGACGCAGCGACGCCGCGUGCGGGACGGAGGCCUUCGGGUCGUAAACCGCUUUCAGCAGGGAAGAGUCAAGACUGUACCUGCAGAAGAAGCCCCGGCUAACUACGUGCCAGCAGCCGCGGUAAUACGUAGGGGGCGAGCGUUAUCCGGAUUCAUUGGGCGUAAAGCGCGCGUAGGCGGCCCGGCAGGCCGGGGGUCGAAGCGGGGGGCUCAACCCCCCGAAGCCCCCGGAACCUCCGCGGCUUGGGUCCGGUAGGGGAGGGUGGAACACCCGGUGUAGCGGUGGAAUGCGCAGAUAUCGGGUGGAACACCGGUGGCGAAGGCGGCCCUCUGGGCCGAGACCGACGCUGAGGCGCGAAAGCUGGGGGAGCGAACAGGAUUAGAUACCCUGGUAGUCCCAGCCGUAAAACGAUGGAGCGCUAGGGGGUGGGGGGGGCGAUCCCCCCCGUGCCGCAGCCAACGCAUUAAGCGUCCCGCCUGGGGAGUACGGCCGCAAGGCUAAAACUCAAAGGAAUUGACGGGGGCCCGCACAAGCAGCGGAGCAUGUGGCUUAAUUCGAAGCAACGCGAAGAACCUUACCAGGGCUUGACAUAUGGGUGAAGCGGGGGAGACCCCGUGGCCGAGAGGAGCCCAUACAGGUGGUGCAUGGCUGUCGUCAGCUUGUGUCGUGAGAUGUUGGGUUAAGUCCCGCAACGAGCGCAACCCCCGCCGCGUGUUGCCAUCGGGUGAUGCCGGGAACCCACGCGGGACCGCCGCCGUCAAGGCGGAGGAGGGCGGGGACGACGUCAAGUCAUCAUGCCCCUUAUGCCCUGGGCUGCACACGUGCUACAAUGGCCGGUACAGAGGGAUGCCACCCCGCGAGGGGGAGCGGAUCCCGGAAAGCCGGCCCCAGUUCGGAUUGGGGGCUGCAACCCGCCCCCAUGAAGUCGGAGUUGCUAGUAAUCGCGGAUCAGCAUGCCGCGGUGAAUGCGUUCCCGGGCCUUGCAC